This 1541-nucleotide ribosomal RNA is filed under the name Escherichia coli. RNAcentral's name for it is "bacterial SSU rRNA". It matches the Rfam family "Bacterial small subunit ribosomal RNA". Lineage: Bacteria; Pseudomonadati; Pseudomonadota; Gammaproteobacteria; Enterobacterales; Enterobacteriaceae. The record is from RNAcentral.
AAAUUGAAGAGUUUGAUCAUGGCUCAGAUUGAACGCUGGCGGCAGGCCUAACACAUGCAAGUCGAACGGUAACAGGAAACAGCUUGCUGUUUCGCUGACGAGUGGCGGACGGGUGAGUAAUGUCUGGGAAACUGCCUGAUGGAGGGGAUAACUACUGGAAACGGUAGCUAAUACCGCAUAACGUCGCAAGACCAAAGAGGGGGACCUUCGGGCCUCUUGCCAUCAGAUGUGCCCAGAUGGGAUUAGCUAGUAGGUGGGGUAACGGCUCACCUAGGCGACGAUCCCUAGCUGGUCUGAGAGGAUGACCAGCCACACUGGAACUGAGACACGGUCCAGACUCCUACGGGAGGCAGCAGUGGGGAAUAUUGCACAAUGGGCGCAAGCCUGAUGCAGCCAUGCCGCGUGUAUGAAGAAGGCCUUCGGGUUGUAAAGUACUUUCAGCGGGGAGGAAGGGAGUAAAGUUAAUACCUUUGCUCAUUGACGUUACCCGCAGAAGAAGCACCGGCUAACUCCGUGCCAGCAGCCGCGGUAAUACGGAGGGUGCAAGCGUUAAUCGGAAUUACUGGGCGUAAAGCGCACGCAGGCGGUUUGUUAAGUCAGAUGUGAAAUCCCCGGGCUCAACCUGGGAACUGCAUCUGAUACUGGCAAGCUUGAGUCUCGUAGAGGGGGGUAGAAUUCCAGGUGUAGCGGUGAAAUGCGUAGAGAUCUGGAGGAAUACCGGUGGCGAAGGCGGCCCCCUGGACGAAGACUGACGCUCAGGUGCGAAAGCGUGGGGAGCAAACAGGAUUAGAUACCCUGGUAGUCCACGCCGUAAACGAUGUCGACUUGGAGGUUGUGCCCUUGAGGCGUGGCUUCCGGAGCUAACGCGUUAAGUCGACCGCCUGGGGAGUACGGCCGCAAGGUUAAAACUCAAAUGAAUUGACGGGGGCCCGCACAAGCGGUGGAGCAUGUGGUUUAAUUCGAUGCAACGCGAAGAACCUUACCUGGUCUUGACAUCCACGGAAGUUUUCAGAGAUGAGAAUGUGCCUUCGGGAACCGUGAGACAGGUGCUGCAUGGCUGUCGUCAGCUCGUGUUGUGAAAUGUUGGGUUAAGUCCCGCAACGAGCGCAACCCUUAUCCUUUGUUGCCAGCGGUCCGGCCGGGAACUCAAAGGAGACUGCCAGUGAUAAACUGGAGGAAGGUGGGGAUGACGUCAAGUCAUCAUGGCCCUUACGACCAGGGCUACACACGUGCUACAAUGGCGCAUACAAAGAGAAGCGACCUCGCGAGAGCAAGCGGACCUCAUAAAGUGCGUCGUAGUCCGGAUUGGAGUCUGCAACUCGACUCCAUGAAGUCGGAAUCGCUAGUAAUCGUGGAUCAGAAUGCCACGGUGAAUACGUUCCCGGGCCUUGUACACACCGCCCGUCACACCAUGGGAGUGGGUUGCAAAAGAAGUAGGUAGCUUAACCUUCGGGAGGGCGCUUACCACUUUGUGAUUCAUGACUGGGGUGAAGUCGUAACAAGGUAACCGUAGGGGAACCUGCGGUUGGAUCACCUCCUUA